GUAGGUGGCAAGCGUUGUCCGGAAUUAUUGGGCGUAAAGCGCGCGCAGGCGGUUUCUUAAGUCUGAUGUGAAAGCCCACGGCUCAACCGUGGAGGGUCAUUGGAAACUGGGGAACUUGAGUGCAGAAGAGGAAAGUGGAAUUCCACGUGUAGCGGUGAAAUGCGUAGAGAUGUGGAGGAACACCAGUGGCGAAGGCGACUUUCUGGUCUGUAACUGACGCUGAGGCGCGAAAGCGUGGGGAGCAAACAGGAUUAGAUACCCUGGUAGUCCACGCCGUAAACGAUGAGUGCUAAGUGUUAGAGGGUUUCCGCCCUUUAGUGCUGCAGCUAACGCAUUAAGCACUCCGCCUGGGAGUACGGUCGCAAGACUG
This 370-nucleotide ribosomal RNA is filed under the name uncultured organism. RNAcentral's name for it is "partial 16S ribosomal RNA". It matches the Rfam family "Bacterial small subunit ribosomal RNA", at positions 527 to 896 of the family's 1533-position model. The record is from RNAcentral.